CGGGGUGUAGCGCAGCCUGGUAGCGCAUAUGGUUUGGAACCAUAGGGUCGCCGGUUCAAAUCCGGCCAUCCCGACCA
RNAcentral lists this transfer RNA (77 nucleotides) under Acidithiobacillus thiooxidans. Its description in RNAcentral is "tRNA-Pro". It matches the Rfam family "tRNA". Rfam says of the family: Transfer RNA (tRNA) molecules are approximately 80 nucleotides in length. The record is from RNAcentral. Lineage: Bacteria; Pseudomonadati; Pseudomonadota; Acidithiobacillia; Acidithiobacillales; Acidithiobacillaceae.